Molecule: ribosomal RNA, 253 nt
Filed under: uncultured bacterium
Lineage: Bacteria
Description: partial 16S ribosomal RNA
Rfam family: Bacterial small subunit ribosomal RNA
Source: RNAcentral
UUGAACGCUGGCGGCAUGCCUUACACAUGCAAGUCGAACGGUAGAGGGGGCAACCCUUGAGAGUGGCGAACGGGUGAGUAAUGCAUCGGAACGUGCCCAGUCGUGGGGGAUAACGCAGCGAAAGCUGUGCUAAUACCGCAUGUGAUCUGUGGAUGAAAGCAGGGGACCGCAAGGCCUUGUGCGAUUGGAGCGGCCGAUGUCAGAUUAGCUAGUUGGUAGGGUAAAAGCCUACCAAGGCGACGAUCUGUAGCUG